GCGUCGACAUGGCUCAGAUUGAACGCUGGCGGCAGGCCUAACACAUGCAAGUCGAGCGGUAGAGAGAAGCUUGCUUCUCUUGAGAGCGGCGGACGGGUGAGUAAUGCCUAGGAAUCUGCCUGGUAGUGGGGGAUAACGCUCGGAAACGGACGCUAAUACCGCAUAACAAUGGAUGACACAUGUCAUUUAUUUGAAAGGGGCAAUUGCUCCACU
Molecule: ribosomal RNA, 213 nt
Filed under: uncultured bacterium
Lineage: Bacteria
Description: partial 16S ribosomal RNA
Rfam family: Bacterial small subunit ribosomal RNA
Source: RNAcentral